GACGAACGCUGGCGGCGUGCUUAACACAUGCAAGUCGAACGGAAAGGCCCUGCUUUUGUGGGGUGCUCGAGUGGCGAACGGGUGAGUAACACGUGAGUAACCUGCCCUUGACUUUGGGAUAACUUCAGGAAACUGGGGCUAAUACCGGAUAGGAGCUCCUGCUGCAUGGUGGGGGGUGGAAAGUUUCGGCGGUUGGGGAUGGACUCGCGGCUUAUCAGCUUGUUGGUGGGGUAGUGGCUUACCAAGGCUUGGACGGGUAGCCGGCCGGAGAGGGUGACCGGCCACAUUGGGACUGCGAUACGGCCCAGACUCCUACGGGAGGCAGCAGUGGGGAAUAUUGCACAAUGGGAGGAAGCCUGAUGCAGAAACGCCGCGUGCGGGAUGACGGCCUUCGGGUUGUAAACCGCUUUCGCCUGUGACGAAGCGUGAGUGACGGUAAUGGGUAAAGAAGCACCGGCUAACUACGUG
RNAcentral lists this ribosomal RNA (468 nucleotides) under uncultured bacterium. RNAcentral describes it as "partial 16S ribosomal RNA". It matches the Rfam family "Bacterial small subunit ribosomal RNA", at positions 28 to 507 of the family's 1533-position model. The record is from RNAcentral.